UGCCCGACUCCUUCCCCGCGCGCCCGACGCUUUCUCCUCUUUGCCCUAACCGCCGCCCACGGCAGUUUCCUCCUCUUUCUAUCUCUUCUCCUUCCCUUCCUGUGAAGCCACAUUCUCUCCUUCUCCCGACGCCGAGCAACGCCAAGCCCUAGGUGCCGACGCCGCCGACGCCCUCUCCUAUCUCCUCACGCGCGCCACCGUCGUUCCGACGCCGAGCAGCGCCAACCUUCUUCUCCUCUGCCGACACCGAGACCUCCUCUUCCUCCAUCUCGAGUGCCCUAGCAGACUCCUUUCUUCCCGACGCCCUCUGCCCUAGAUUUGGGCCACAACCGCCACCACUUUGCCCUAGCCGAAUUCCUUCCACCGUCGACAGUCCGAGUUCCCUUCUGGUGUUCGUGCCCUAGCCACAACCUACACCGCCGCGACUUCCUCCGCUCUAGGUCAGGCCGACUCCCGACUUCCUCUCCUCCCUGUGCUCACAACCCACCGCACCUCUGCACAGUGCUGACGCUGCUGCCUAGUGCCCUAUGCCCUUAAUCAAAUCCACGCAGCUAAUAGCCCUUAACGGUAGAAAUUUCCAGCCAGCAAACCUUUGAUAUCAGUACAAACUAGUGGCUGUGAGAUUCGACUAAGGCAUUCAACUCAGAUAAAGAAAAAGGAAAGCUAAUAUGAAGGAAGGUGACAAGGAGAUACAAGAGGGG
Long non-coding RNA from Zingiber officinale, 701 nucleotides. RefSeq lists it as uncharacterized. The record is from RefSeq and is a predicted model, not a curated record. Lineage: Eukaryota; Viridiplantae; Streptophyta; Magnoliopsida; Zingiberales; Zingiberaceae. The transcript is spliced from 3 exons.